Molecule: long non-coding RNA, 812 nt
Filed under: Olea europaea subsp. europaea
Lineage: Eukaryota; Viridiplantae; Streptophyta; Magnoliopsida; Lamiales; Oleaceae
Source: RNAcentral
UUGGUCCAAUACUUCUACGCAAUGUUGAUGAGAGUGUAAGAUUUUCAAUCUACUCAAUUCAAUGAUAAUUCACCACAUAACUCAUAGAAUUAUACAACUAUAUAUACACAUUCUUUAGAAUAUAUUUCUAGUAAUGAUACUAUCUAUGUGGCUACAAUUUUGUAAUGUUUACAAAAAGCAACGGCCUUGAAUUUAGUAAUAUGUGUUGACUACUGCAGAUUACACGUGAAGGUGCUGCCAUAAUUUUAGCAUAGGAUAAUUUGUCUUGAUUAGAGCUUGAUUAGUGUAACCUUGAUUUACUCGUAUAGGCUAAGAGCUAGCUUUGUUGAUUGGUGCUUGAUUUGUGCUAUCAUCCUUAAUACGUCCCCAAAAGAUGGGUCUGCCAUUGACAAGGCCAAUCUUGUUCCAAAGAAGCUUCGUGCAUUGCCAUGACAAUUGUUUCAUGAGAAGAUCCGCAAGUUGAUCUUCAGUAUUGACAUGACGAACAUAUAAUGUGCCCCAUUAAACCAUGUCGCGCACAAAGUGGAGAUCUAUCUGGACACGCGUUAUCCGAGAAUGCUAGAUGGGAUUGAAAAUCGAGGUGUAUCGCUCUAAGGUUUAUCACAGAGCAACAUUGGUGGAGACUUGAAAGGAAGUCCAAGUUCAUGAAACAAUGAAAGCAGCCAUAGCGUUUUAGAAGUAGCAUUUGCAAGUGCUCUAUAUUCGGCCUCAAUAGAUGAGCGGACAACAACUCGCUGUUUCUUUGAGCUCCACGAUAUAGGAUUGGAACCAAGAAAACUGACAUAGGCCGAAGUAGAUGUACGAUAAUCAAG